CUUCCCACCAAUUCUAACCUUUAUCCAGUGACUUCCACUCACACCACUUACUUCUCAGGAUCAAGAAGCUGUCGGAAACAGUAAUGGAAAAAACAUCAUAUUCCCCUUUCAUCAACUUCCUGGGCCUUCCACAAGAGUCAGGUGACAAUCAACAUCUCCAUCGCUCUAGUGAACAAAGAGGUAUCUGAAUAAGACAGAAAGCCAAGGAAUGAGGUGAUCAUUGCUCUACACAAGCAAGCUGGAGCAGGGAAAGCAACAGUAUACCAACUUGUGUAAUGACCUUACACUCUGCAAGAAGGUGGCUGUCUGGCUAUUUCCUUACCUCAGUUUUCAUUAAUACCUUUGUAAAACCAGCAACACCUCCUUGCUAAUCAACAAUAUUUUUCUUACAUCUUCAUAAAAGUCCAGUCUGGUAUUCACAUGCUUCAGUUCGAUCAGUAUUAAACAGUUUCUAAUGGUUUAAAAAAAUAAAAAC
Molecule: long non-coding RNA, 475 nt
Organism: Mauremys reevesii (Reeves's turtle)
Lineage: Eukaryota; Metazoa; Chordata; Testudines; Geoemydidae
Exons: 3
Source: RefSeq, a predicted model, not a curated record